This 467-nucleotide ribosomal RNA is filed under the name uncultured bacterium. Its description in RNAcentral is "partial 16S ribosomal RNA". It matches the Rfam family "Bacterial small subunit ribosomal RNA", at positions 28 to 507 of the family's 1533-position model. The record is from RNAcentral.
GACGAACGCUGGCGGCGUGCUUAACACAUGCAAGUCGAACGGAAAGGCCCUGCUUUUGUGGGGUGCUCGAGUGGCGAACGGGUGAGUAACACGUGAGUAACCUGCCCUUGACUUUGGGAUAACUUCAGGAAACUGGGGCUAAUACCGGAUAGGAGCUCCUGCUGCAUGGUGGGGGUUGGAAAGUUUCGGCGGUUGGGGAUGGACUCGGGGCUUAUCAGCUUGUUGGUGGGGUAGUGGCUUACCAAGGCUUUGACGGGUAGCCGGCCUGAGAGGGUGACCGGCCACAUGGGGACUGGGGAACGGCCCGGACGCAAACGGGGGGCAGGAGUGGGAAUAUUGCACAAUGGGCGGAAGCCUGAUGCAGCAACGCCGCGUGCGGGAUGACGGCCUUCGGGUUGUAAACCGCUUUCGCCUGUGACGAAGCGUGAGUGACGGUAAUGGGUAAAGAAGCACCGGCUAACUACGUG